RNAcentral lists this unclassified non-coding RNA (314 nucleotides) under plant metagenome. RNAcentral's name for it is "partial contains 5.8S ribosomal RNA, internal transcribed spacer 2, and large subunit ribosomal RNA". The stretch from base 1 to 105 matches the Rfam family "5.8S ribosomal RNA", at positions 50 to 154 of the family's 154-position model. The record is from RNAcentral.
GAAAUGCGAUAAUUAAUGUGAAUUGCAGAAUUCAGUGAAUCAUCGAGUCUUUGAACGCACAUUGCGCCCCCUGGUAUUCCGGGGGGCAUGCCUGUCCGAGCGUCAUUGCUGCCCUCAAGCACGGCUUGUGUGUUGGGCUUCCGUCCCUGGCAACGGGGACGGGCCCAAAAGGCAGUGGCGGCACCAUGUCCGGUCCUCGAGCGUAUGGGGCUUUGUCACCCGCUCCCGUAGGUCCAGCUGGCAGCUAGCCUCGCAACCAAUCUUUUUAACCAGGUUGACCUCGGAUCAGGUAGGGAUACCCGCUGAACUUAAGC